AUGACUUAUCGGAUGACAGCACAACUUCAUGCCACAGAAAGAAGAGGAUGCCCUUUAAAGCACAAAAAAGUGGACCAACAUCUGCAUGGUCUUCUCCAGGUAGGAGAGAGCAGAUGGUUUAAGCCUUUGCCAGGAGGCCUCAUUCACACGCUGGAUUUUAAGGCAUCGUGGUGCUUGUGAGGUGCUUGGUGAGUCUCAGUCAAAUGCUUCUUUGUAAGGCGUGGUAUGAAGGGGUCACUUAGAAGGUGAGCAAGACAUUAAAUGCUCCAUUUCCUCACUGUGAGGUAACACUCUGCAGUCAAACCAGGUGAGCUGAAAUAACUGGAUAUGCUUCUCCACAGAGCUAAUGCAUUUUUAUCAAACACUUCCUCAACAAUUCUUAUUCCCUUUCUGGAGCUUUCAUUGCUGCUGCCAAUUAUAGGAGAAUUGAGACAGUCAAAACACCUCCAAAAAAGAAAAUGGCAAAAAGAAAUUUUAUGUUGUCUACAAAAGAGAUACUAUAUUUUGUUAUUUUUGAUCCACCAUCUGGGCUUCCAUGAAGUAGAGAUUUGAAGCUUAGUAUAAUAAAGAAAUAACAUAGAUGAUGGGGUUUUGGU
Homo sapiens (human) is the source of this 596-nucleotide long non-coding RNA. Lineage: Eukaryota; Metazoa; Chordata; Mammalia; Primates; Hominidae. The record is from Ensembl.